The sequence is a regulatory RNA element, 136 nucleotides long. It matches the Rfam family "Hepatitis C alternative reading frame stem-loop". The record is from Rfam.
AACCGUCGCCCACAGGACGUCAAGUUCCCGGGUGGCGGUCAGAUCGUUGGUGGAGUUUACUUGUUGCCGCGCAGGGGCCCUAGAUUGGGUGUGCGCGCGACGAGGAAGACUUCCGAGCGGUCGCAACCUCGAGGUA